GAAGACUGAGCAUGCACGAAGCUCAUUUGUUGCUGGAAGUCACCGGGUGAGGAGCUCGCGGCCGCGGCUCCUGGGUCUAGGCCCAGGCCUGCCAGGGGAGGGUCGGACUCACCCCUGGAGUACCUGGGCUGGGUGUUGGAUGUCCGGAGCUGCUCCUGGAUGACCGGGUCUUCGUUGGACGUCGGCGGGAAGCUCAGGAACUCCGCGGUCGUUGGGCGAGGUCUCCAGGAGUCUGGCGGCUCGGCGGCGGAUCCACAGGCGUUGGUCGCGAAGUGAGCUGGGAAGCCCAGUGGAGGUCGCAGGAUAGAUGUGGGACUGGAACUGCUGGAUGACCACGUGGGAGAGGCCUUUUGUACUCAGAGGGAGGAGCUUUGAGCUGGAAUCAAGUAUUAUACAUGCAUAAGAAGAGGAAGCAUCCAAAGGACAAUGAAAUUUAUCUAGCAGGGAUUUCUCAUCCAUAAUGAACGGGAGCUGCACAACACCCCUACUAUUCAAAUCAGAGGUGGAAGACUUGGGACCUCUGGAAGUGUCACUAAGCAAGGCCUCUGGUCAAGGAAAAUGGAAGUCAUAAACCAACAACAUCUGAAGGGCCAUUAGUUUCACAUCCCUAGUCGAUAUGAAUUGGAAUUGCACUUAAAUAUUCUGCACAACUGCCAUUCAUUUAACUGAGGCUUGCAUAGACCUUCCCGGUGGAUGGUGCCUAAAUGCAUGACAAACAGUUAUGCAUAUUUGAUCCCCUUUGAAAUCAGCUGGAUUUGGGUGUGUACAUGCAAUUGCCAGGAUGUAUUAUGAAUGAACUAUGGCAAUUAAAUCAUAUUAUAUAAUGGACAGGAAACAUAAUUUAUUUACAAAAGAAAAUAUGAUAAACAAGCAUAUUUUACUCCAGCAAGGAAUCAGGAUUUCUGCACGAAAUGUACAUAGUACACUUCCAUGAGAAAAUGUUAAAAUAAAAUGUUUAAAGUAAUUGUAUACGGGCAUGUUUGAAUAAAUGUACAUUUAUUUUCAUGGCCAUUGUUUUAAAACUGAUUAAUGUAGAAGUCUUGAUACUGCAGAAAACAAACAACCCUGAAGAGAUUUGUUGCUAUUUAAU
Molecule: long non-coding RNA, 1090 nt
Organism: Pantherophis guttatus
Lineage: Eukaryota; Metazoa; Chordata; Lepidosauria; Squamata; Colubridae
Source: RefSeq, a predicted model, not a curated record